Molecule: long non-coding RNA, 837 nt
Organism: Xenopus laevis (African clawed frog)
Lineage: Eukaryota; Metazoa; Chordata; Amphibia; Anura; Pipidae
Exons: 2
Source: RefSeq, a predicted model, not a curated record
UGUAGCCUUAGCAACUUGGCCAUGCCUCAGGCCAUCCUGAGGACAUGUCAAUACAUGUCAAUACUAGUACAUAUUCAUAUGUACCUACUUUAGGCAGUUGGCUGUAGUCUAUUUGUAAUCGCUGGAAGGUUAUUCUGGUUUAGCAAAGUGCUGUCUCAGAGAUUUGACUACCUGACCAGGAUUAUGACGUAAACAGAUCAACCCCCACAUGAUUUGACUUCUGAUGAUGUUGUUAGCAGGUGUGAUGAUAAUGGACUCCUUUUGGAUGCAUCCACCACUGGAAUACUUGUUAACACCACACUAGGAUCGGAAGUGCAGGCAUGGAAGAGCAGUAAAAUUAAUAGAACACAAGGCAGUUUUACUUCGUUUUUGUAAAUAAACAAUAUAUGCAUACCAACUUUACCAUCAUUAGGAGUCAGGUGUGGAGACCAGUCCGAAGAGGAUACCCUCCGUAUUAUGUAUUAAAAGCUGAUAAUGGAACUAUCUUACUGCAGAAUCAAACAGAAAUUAAAUUUUGUCAUUUACCAUUGGGUUUAGUUCAUCAAAGAGCCGAAGAUAGUUAUGAUGCAUAUCUUAAUAAUACUAAUGAUAUUUACUCAGUGACUAUGAUUUUAACAUGUAAUUUAACAGUAUUUUUCUGUCAUAAAAAUACUGAAAUUAGUGGGCUGAAUAUAUAAUAUUUUUUAGUAAUAGGCCAAAUAUUACUAGUAAAAAUAAUUUAGUGAGAAUUCCUUCCACAUUUCAAAAAUUAGGAACUCAAUCUAAACAAAUAGUGAUUAAUUUUUCAGUUAAAUUUCCUAGUACAAAUAAAAAUUUUAAGGUCAGGAAAAAAAAAAA